RNAcentral lists this ribosomal RNA (497 nucleotides) under uncultured bacterium. RNAcentral's name for it is "partial 16S ribosomal RNA". It matches the Rfam family "Bacterial small subunit ribosomal RNA", at positions 28 to 507 of the family's 1533-position model. The record is from RNAcentral.
GAUGAACGCUGGCGGCGUGCCUAAUACAUGCAAGUCGAGCGAACGGACGAGAAGCUUGCUUUUCUGAUGUUAGCGGCGGACGGGCGAGUAACACGUGGAUAACCUACCUAUAAGACUGGGAUAACUUCGGGAAACCGGAGCUAAUACCGGAUAAUAUUUUGAACCGCAUGGUUCAAAAGUGAAAGACGGUCCUGCUGUCACUUAUAGAUGGAUCCGCGCUGCAUUAGCUAGUUGGUAAGGUAACGGCUUACCAAGGCAACGAUGCAUAGCCGACCUGAGAGGGUGAUCGGCCACACUGGAACUGAGACACGGUCCAGACUCCUACGGGAGGCAGCAGUAGGGAAUCUUCCGCAAUGGGCGAAAGCCUGACGGAGCAACGCCGCGUGAGUGAUGAAGGUCUUCGGAUCGUAAAACUCUGUUAUUAGGGAAGAACAUAUGUGUAAGUAACUGUGCACAUCUUGACGGUACCUAAUCAGAAAGCCACGGCUAACUACGUG